Molecule: small nuclear RNA, 107 nt
Organism: Suncus etruscus (white-toothed pygmy shrew)
Lineage: Eukaryota; Metazoa; Chordata; Mammalia; Eulipotyphla; Soricidae
Source: RefSeq, a predicted model, not a curated record
GUGCUUGCUUUGGCAGCACAUAUACUAAAAUUGGUACGAUACAGAGAAGAUUAGCAUGGCCCCUGCGCAAGUAUGACGUGCAAAUUCAUGAAGUAUUCCAUAUUAAA